Long non-coding RNA from Pseudoliparis swirei, 2774 nucleotides. RefSeq lists it as uncharacterized. The transcript is spliced from 2 exons. The record is from RefSeq and is a predicted model, not a curated record. NCBI's taxonomy places the organism in Eukaryota, Metazoa, Chordata, Actinopteri, Perciformes, Liparidae.
GCAUUGAAAAUGCCGGAAGGUUAUGUUUUGAUCGCCAUGUAUUUAUUUAUUUAUUUGUAUGCGUGUUAUUCGCAAAUCUCAAAAAGUAUUGAACCGAAUCGCAUGAAAUUUGGUGGGAUGAUUGUUUAUUAUCCGGGGACCAGUUGAUUAGAUUUUGGGAUCGAUCGGGUCAAAGGUCAUGAACAGGUCAAAAUCUUUCGCAGAACUCAAAAAGUAUUGAACCGAAUCGCAUGAAAUUUGGUGGGAUGAUUGUUUAUUAUCCGGGGACCAGUUGACUAGAUUUUGGGAUCGAUCGGGUCAAAGGUCAAGGGUCAUGAACAGGUCAAAAUGUUCUUGAAUCGCAUGAAAUUUGGUGGGAUGAUUGGUUAUUAUCCGGGGACCAUUUGAUUAGAUUUUGGGAUCAAUCGGGUCAAAGGUCAAGGUCAUGGAAAGGUCACUCCUUUUUUUACCAUAGCACGAUACAUUUUGUCCAAUUGGCAUGCAACUAAUGCCAAAAUGUUCAUAAUUCAAUGCCCAAUCUUGUGAUAUGCGAAGGUAUACGCUCUACCGAGUGCCCAUUCUAGUUUAUAUCUAUAAUUGACAGCAUGAUUAACCAGCUCAGAAAUUCUAAAUAAUGUUAUCUUUUUACUUUGUGGUUAUUGUCAUGCGCAGUCCAGGUUGUCGCAACGAGAGAGGACCCAAACGCCGACAUUAUUGCACAAAAACAAUCUUUACUCCAAGAAACCAGAACAGGACGACAAAACACACGGACCAAACAGUACAAAGCCACACUGGGAAUGAGACGAACAGGGUUUACAUACACAGGCAAGGUGAGAGGAUUGGACAACGGGGAACGAGACACAGGUGGACACAAUGAGGGCGGGGCCAGCAAUCACAGAAGGAAACAAUCAGGGCCAGGGCAGACAAUCACAGGGAGACAGACGACACAAGGACUUCCAAACAAGACACAAAACUAACACAAACUCCAGAUCAUGACAGUUAUUUGCAUUACAGUUUUUCUCCAUUGCUUUGGCUCAAUUCUUGAAACAGAAAUUACAUUCUCAAAGCUCUUAGUGCAUUUGGUAAAAUAGCAUAUAUGGUUCAGCACAACUACAUAGAUCACCUUCAAAAGGUCAUAUCUCACCCAAAACAUUUAACUCAAGCUUCAAACUCAAAUCAUUUUCUCAUAAAAAUAGUCAGUGCCCCCAAAAUGAAAACUUCCUUCUCAAUUGCUGUGGCUCAUCUCUCUCUCGAAAAAAAGGACAUUCUCAAAGCUAUAAAUACAUUUGCCAAAAUAACCUAGAUGGUUUAGGAAAACACUUUGGCACACCUGCAAAAGGUCAUAUCUCUCCCAAAACAGACAACUCAUCAGUCAAAACUAAUUCCUUUUCUCAUACAAAUAGUCAGUGCCCCCAAAAUCAAAAGUCCCUUCGUCAUUGUUUAAACACUGCAGGUCAAAAUGUUUAGAUGUUUUGUCAGUAUGGCAGUGGACCAUAGAAAUAUCCCUCAUGUGCACAAUUCAAUCUUGGCUUAGUCCUUUGACACUGAAUGGUUACUGUAGGAGAUGUUUUCUUUCCAGAAUACUAUGUGUAUCAAACAGAAAAAAGAUUCAUUCAAGAGGAGCCAACAAGGUUUCACAUCACAUACUGUAUUGCACUUAUACUGCCGUGGAAAUUGUUACAGUAAUUGCAAAACAGAAACAGAAAAUGUGUACAGCAAAAAAUAGUGUCAAACAAAAAGCACAUACAAAAUAAAAUUAAGUAUAGCCUACACGACUGUAACAAAACAUAUAGUAGGAAAGUAAAUCAAAGCUGGAGUUCAAAGCUGGAGUUCAUCCUCACUCUCCUGCUCAACAUCGCAUCUGAUGUUCUCCCUUGCGAUGCAACGGGGGAAGAAUCGGCGUGCAUGACCCAACCAUCCCCUGCACCGAUCUGCUGUGACAUCGGCACAAGCAGCAUCCAUUGCCUGGAGAAGGGACCUCUGGUUUAGAGCCCGAUGCUCAUACACCCUCCACCACCACGCACCCUUGCUCCUCUUCCUCUUCUUCUUCCUCCUCUUCCUCGAACAGGCAGUUGCCCUUGUUCGUUUACCUGGCCAGGUGCUUCCAUGUUCAUACUGUAAACUGGACUGAACUUUGUCAAGCCCUAGAUAUUUGAUGGAAGCAUUUAUACUCCUGGAUAGCACCUGUCAGCUAACUAAAAUGACUGUGUGAUUGGUGAUCGGAUGUGAGAAACUCUCCCUUGAUUAGUAAAGUUCUAGUUGAACCUGGAAAUGAAGCCGAUGAUCCAAGAGAUCCAUAUAACAGAAUAUACCAUGAUGUUUUUCAUGGUAUUAUGUGCCUGAACGAUUUUGACAGUGGAGUGAACUAUUGUGCAGGUGAUGAUGUAAACAAGGAAAUUAUGCCAAGAAGUUUUGCAGAGAACAACCACUUGACUGAGAAGCAACCGUCGGUUUAGACCAGCAAGAUGUAUUCAAUUGGUAAUUGGGCUAACUGAAGGCAAUUGUACCUCCAUUUGCACAGAUGUGCUAAAUCAUUUGAAAUGUGUGCAAGCUGUCGGCAAUUGUACUUGUCAUUUGCAAGGAGUUUCUAAAACAAUUGCAAUUUGAUGAAAGGAAUGAGAAAUUCAAAUCUGUUGUGAACAAGUGCCCAGUGGUUUGGAGGUUUGCACGAGUUGUUUUGAGAAUGUCAUUUCUGUUUCAAGAAUUGAGCCAAAGCAAUGGAGAAAAACUGUAAAAAAAUACAUUAUUGUAUUUUUAUUUAAAUUUGCUUUGAUUAAAAGAACAAACAUCAUGGC